This 460-nucleotide ribosomal RNA is filed under the name uncultured bacterium. Its description in RNAcentral is "partial 16S ribosomal RNA". It matches the Rfam family "Bacterial small subunit ribosomal RNA", at positions 355 to 807 of the family's 1533-position model. The record is from RNAcentral.
UGGGGAAUUUUGGACAAUGGGCGAAAGCCUGAUCCAGCAAUGCCGCGUGUGUGAAGAAGGCCUUCGGGUUGUAAAGCACUUUUGUCCGGAAAGAAAUCCUUGGCUCUAAUACAGUCGGGGGAUGACGGUACCGGAAGAAUAAGCACCGGCUAACUACGUGCCAGCAGCCGCGGUAAUACGUAGGGUGCAAGCGUUAAUCGGAAUUACUGGGCGUAAAGCGUGCGCAGGCGGUUUGCUAAGACCGAUGUGAAAUCCCCGGGCUCAACCUGGGAACUGCAUUGGUGACUGGCAGGCUAGAGUAUGGCAGAGGGGGGUAGAAUUCCACGUGUAGCAGUGAAAUGCGUAGAGAUGUGGAGGAAUACCGAUGGCGAAGGCAGCCCCCUGGGCCAAUACUGACGCUCAUGCACGAAAGCGUGGGGAGCAAACAGGAUUAGAUACCCUGGUAGUCCACGCCCUAAAA